RNAcentral lists this ribosomal RNA (395 nucleotides) under uncultured bacterium. Its description in RNAcentral is "bacterial SSU rRNA". It matches the Rfam family "Bacterial small subunit ribosomal RNA", at positions 505 to 898 of the family's 1533-position model. The record is from RNAcentral.
GUGCCAGCAGCCGCGGUAAUACGUAGGUGGCGAGCGUUGUCCGGAAUUACUGGGUGUAAAGGGCGUGUAGGCGGGUUGUCAAGUCGGAUGUGAAAUCCCGGGGCUUAACUCCGGGGCUGCAUCUGAAACUGAUGAUCUUGAGUGCUGGAGAGGAAAGCGGAAUUCCUAGUGUAGCGGUGAAAUGCGUAGAUAUUAGGAGGAACACCAGUGGCGAAGGCGGCUUUCUGGACAGUAACUGACGCUGAGGCGCGAAAGCGUGGGGAGCAAACAGGAUUAGAUACCCUGGUAGUCCACGCUGUAAACGAUGGAUACUAGGUGUAGGAGGUAUCGACCCCUUCUGUGCCGCAGUUAACACAAUAAGUAUCCCACCUGGGGAGUACGGCCGCAAGGUUGAA